GAAUCGCAUGGCCUUGCGCCGGCGAUGGUUCAUUCAAAUUUCUGCCCUAUCAACUUUCGAUGGUAAGAUAGAGGCUUACCAUGGUCUUAACGGGUAACGGGGAAUUAGGGUUCUAUUCCGGAGAGGGAGCCUGAGAAACGGCUACCACAUCCAAGGAAGGCAGCAGGCGCGCAAAUUACCCAAUCCCGACACGGGGAGGUAGUGACAAUAAAUACUGAUACGGGGCUCUUUUGGGUCUCGUAAUUGGAAUGAGUACAAUCUAAAUCCCUUAACGAGGAACAAUUGGAGGGCAAGUCUGGUGCCAGCAGCCGCGGUAAUUCCAGCUCCAAUAGCGUAUAUUAAAGUUGUUGCCGUUAAAAAGCUCGUAGUUGAACCUUGGGCCUGGCUGACCUGUCCUCCUAAUCGAGCGCACGGGUUCGGUCGGGCCUUUCCUUCUAGGGAACCCCAUGCCCUUCACUGGGUGUGGUGGGGAACUAGGACUUUUACCUUGAAAAAAUUAGAGUGUUCAAAGCAGGCCUUUGCUCGAAUACAUUAGCAUGGAAUAAUAGAAUAGGACAUCGGUUCUAUUUUGUUGGUUUCUAG
RNAcentral lists this ribosomal RNA (582 nucleotides) under Melanina gundecimermaniae. RNAcentral describes it as "SSU rRNA". It matches the Rfam family "Eukaryotic small subunit ribosomal RNA", at positions 266 to 854 of the family's 1831-position model. Lineage: Eukaryota; Fungi; Ascomycota; Eurotiomycetes; Chaetothyriales. The record is from RNAcentral.